RNAcentral lists this unclassified non-coding RNA (380 nucleotides) under soil metagenome. RNAcentral describes it as "partial contains 5.8S ribosomal RNA, internal transcribed spacer 2, and large subunit ribosomal RNA". The stretch from base 1 to 120 matches the Rfam family "5.8S ribosomal RNA", at positions 35 to 154 of the family's 154-position model. The record is from RNAcentral.
GAUGAAGAACGUAGCGAAAUGCGAUAAGUAAUGUGAAUUGCAGAAUUCAGUGAAUCAUCGAAUCUUUGAACGCACCUUGCACCCUUUGGUAUUCCGAAGGGUAUGCUCGUUUGAGUGUCAUUGUACUCUCACACUUCCGAUCGUUUGGAUCGGGAGCGGUGGACUUGGGUGUUGCUGCUUUACUGUGGCUCACCUUAAAUGCAUUAGUGCACCUUUCGGUUGGACAUAGUACGGCGUGAUAAGUGUCUUCGCCGGCACCUCACAGAGGGUGGCUGAUCGGGAGCUCUGUGCUUCAAACCGUCCUCGGACAACAGCUCACAACUUGACCUCAAAUCGAGUAGGACUACCCGCUGAACUUAAGCAUAUCAAUAAGCGGAGGA